GACGAACGCUGGCGGCGUGCUUAACACAUGCAAGUCGAACGGAAAGGCCCUGCUUUUGUGGGGUGCUCGAGUGGCGAACGGGUGAGUAACACGUGAGUAACCUGCCCUUGACUUUGGGAUAACUUCAGGAAACUGGGGCUAAUACCGGAUAGGAGCUCCUGCUGCAUGGUGGGGGUUGGAAAGUUUCGGCGGUUGGGGAUGGACUCGCGGCUUAUCAGCUUGUUGGUGGGGUAGUGGCUUACCAAGGCUUUGACGGGUAGCCGGCCUGAGAGGGUGACCGGCCACAUUGGGACUGGGAUACGGCCCAGACUCCUACGGGAGGCAGCAGUGGGGAGUAUUGCACAAUGGGCGGAAGCCGGAUGCAGCAACGCCGCGUGCGGGAGGACGGCCUUCGGGUUGUAAACCGCUUUCGCCUGUAACGAAGCGUGAGUGACGGUAAUGGGUAAAGAAGCACCGGCUAACUACGU
Molecule: ribosomal RNA, 467 nt
Filed under: uncultured bacterium
Lineage: Bacteria
Description: partial 16S ribosomal RNA
Rfam family: Bacterial small subunit ribosomal RNA
Source: RNAcentral